GGAAAUCUACGGGACGCAGCAGUGAGGAAUAUUGGUCAAUGGGGGAAACCCUGAUGCAGCGACGCCGCGUGAGUGAAGAAGUAUUUCGGUAUGUAAAGCUCUAUCAGCAGGGAAGAAAAUGACGGUACCUGACUAAGAAGCCCUGGCUAACUACGUGCCAGCAGCCGCGGUAAUACGUAGGGGGCAAGCGUUAUCCGGAUUUACUGGGUGUAAAGGGAGCGUAGACGGCAGCGCAAGUCUGGAGUGAAAUCCCAUGGCUUAACCAUGGAACUGCUUUGGAAACUGUGCAGCUAGAGUGCAGGAGG
Molecule: ribosomal RNA, 305 nt
Filed under: uncultured bacterium
Lineage: Bacteria
Description: bacterial SSU rRNA
Rfam family: Bacterial small subunit ribosomal RNA
Source: RNAcentral